Molecule: long non-coding RNA, 221 nt
Filed under: Homo sapiens (human)
Lineage: Eukaryota; Metazoa; Chordata; Mammalia; Primates; Hominidae
Description: HSALNT0237653
Source: RNAcentral
AGUCUCGCUCUGUCUCCCAGGCUGGAGUGCAGUGGCGCGAUCUCGACUCACUGCAACCUCUGUCUCCUGGGUUCAAGCAAUUCUCCUGCUUCAGCCUCCCGAGGAGCUGGGACUACAGGAUGUCUGAAUUCAGAGUUCUGCGCGUGCUCUACACAACUCCUCCUGCUUGGAAUUGCAAUUACCCCACAUCUCUCUAAUACAUUAGGUGCCCUGUUUUUAAA